CCAGACUCCUACGGGAGGCAGCAGUGGGGAAUAUUGCACAAUGGGGGAAACCCUGAUGCAGCGAUGCCGCGUGGAGGAAGAAGGUUUUCGGAUUGUAAACUCCUUUUAUCAGGGACGAUAAUGACGGUACCUGAAGAAAAAGCGUCGGCUAACUCCGUGCCAGCAGCCGCGGUAAUACGGAGGAUGCGAGCGUUGUCCGGAUUUAUUGGGUUUAAAGGGUGCGUAGGCGGGCAUUUAAGCCGGCGGUCAAAUGUCGGGGCUCAACCCCGGCCUGCCGUCGGAACUGGGUGCCUUGAGUGGGCGAGAAGUAUGCGGAAUGCGUGGUGUAGCGAUGAAAUGCAUAGAUAUCACGCAGAACCCCGAUUGCGAAGGCAGCAUACCGGCGCCCUACUGACGCUGAGGCACGAAAGUGCGGGUAUCGAACAGGAUUAGAUACCCCGGUACA
Molecule: ribosomal RNA, 445 nt
Filed under: uncultured bacterium
Lineage: Bacteria
Description: bacterial SSU rRNA
Rfam family: Bacterial small subunit ribosomal RNA
Source: RNAcentral